GUUUUAAUAGUUUAAUAAAAACAUUGGUCUUGUAAAUCAAAAAUAAGUUUAUCUUUUAAAACU
RNAcentral lists this transfer RNA (63 nucleotides) under Blepharipa zebina. RNAcentral describes it as "tRNA-Thr". It matches the Rfam family "tRNA". From Rfam's summary of the family: Transfer RNA (tRNA) molecules are approximately 80 nucleotides in length. The record is from RNAcentral. Lineage: Eukaryota; Metazoa; Arthropoda; Insecta; Diptera; Tachinidae.